Molecule: long non-coding RNA, 129 nt
Organism: Perognathus longimembris pacificus (Pacific pocket mouse)
Lineage: Eukaryota; Metazoa; Chordata; Mammalia; Rodentia; Heteromyidae
Exons: 3
Source: RefSeq, a predicted model, not a curated record
GAGUCCCAGGGGGGGAGGCCAAUGCACCACAAAUGUAAUGGCGUCCAAGGGAGGGGCAAUCCCCCAUCCCUCCAAGAGCCCACCACUCAGAGACAGUCUCAAGUAAAAAGAUGAAUUUAUUGGGGAAGU